Molecule: ribosomal RNA, 1121 nt
Filed under: Klebsiella variicola
Lineage: Bacteria; Pseudomonadati; Pseudomonadota; Gammaproteobacteria; Enterobacterales; Enterobacteriaceae
Description: bacterial SSU rRNA
Rfam family: Bacterial small subunit ribosomal RNA
Source: RNAcentral
GCUCUCGGGUGACGAGCGGCGGACGGGUGAGUAAUGUCUGGGAAACUGCCUGAUGGAGGGGGAUAACUACUGGAAACGGUAGCUAAUACCGCAUAACGUCGCAAGACCAAAGUGGGGGACCUUCGGGCCUCAUGCCAUCAGAUGUGCCCAGAUGGGAUUAGCUAGUAGGUGGGGUAACGGCUCACCUAGGCGACGAUCCCUAGCUGGUCUGAGAGGAUGACCAGCCACACUGGAACUGAGACACGGUCCAGACUCCUACGGGAGGCAGCAGUGGGGAAUAUUGCACAAUGGGCGCAAGCCUGAUGCAGCCAUGCCGCGUGUGUGAAGAAGGCCUUCGGGUUGUAAAGCACUUUCAGCGGGGAGGAAGGCGGUGAGGUUAAUAACCUUGUCGAUUGACGUUACCCGCAGAAGAAGCACCGGCUAACUCCGUGCCAGCAGCCGCGGUAAUACGGAGGGUGCAAGCGUUAAUCGGAAUUACUGGGCGUAAAGCGCACGCAGGCGGUCUGUCAAGUCGGAUGUGAAAUCCCCGGGCUCAACCUGGGAACUGCAUUCGAAACUGGCAGGCUAGAGUCUUGUAGAGGGGGGUAGAAUUCCAGGUGUAGCGGUGAAAUGCGUAGAGAUCUGGAGGAAUACCGGUGGCGAAGGCGGCCCCCUGGACAAAGACUGACGCUCAGGUGCGAAAGCGUGGGGAGCAAACAGGAUUAGAUACCCUGGUAGUCCACGCUGUAAACGAUGUCGAUUUGGAGGUUGUGCCCUUGAGGCGUGGCUUCCGGAGCUAACGCGUUAAAUCGACCGCCUGGGGAGUACGGCCGCAAGGUUAAAACUCAAAUGAAUUGACGGGGGCCCGCACAAGCGGUGGAGCAUGUGGUUUAAUUCGAUGCAACGCGAAGAACCUUACCUGGUCUUGACAUCCACAGAACUUUCCAGAGAUGGAUUGGUGCCUUCGGGAACUGUGAGACAGGUGCUGCAUGGCUGUCGUCAGCUCGUGUUGUGAAAUGUUGGGUUAAGUCCCGCAACGAGCGCAACCCUUAUCCUUUGUUGCCAGCGGUUAGGCCGGGAACUCAAAGGAGACUGCCAGUGAUAAACUGGAAGAAAGGUGGGGGAUGACGUCAAGUCAUCAU